UCAAAGUUGCUAACUCAAAGGAUU
Molecule: non-coding RNA, 24 nt
Filed under: Arabidopsis thaliana (thale cress)
Lineage: Eukaryota; Viridiplantae; Streptophyta; Magnoliopsida; Brassicales; Brassicaceae
Source: RNAcentral